Molecule: ribosomal RNA, 820 nt
Filed under: uncultured marine archaeon
Lineage: Archaea
Description: bacterial SSU rRNA
Rfam family: Archaeal small subunit ribosomal RNA
Source: RNAcentral
AGCCAUGCGAGUCAUUGUAGUAAUACAAGGCAGACGGCUCAGUAACGCGUAGUCAACCUAACCUAUGGACGGGAAUAACCUCGGGAAACUGAGUAUAAUGCCCGAUAGAACAUUAUGCCUGGAAUGGUUUAUGUUCCAAAUGAUUUAUCGCCGUAGGAUGGGACUGCGGCCUAUCAGUUUGUUGGUGAGGUAAUGGCCCACCAAGACUAUUACAGGUACGGGCUCUGAGAGGAGUAGCCCGGAGAUGGGUACUGAGACACGGACCCAGGCCCUAUGGGGCGCAGCAGGCGAGAAAACUUUGCAAUGUGCGAAAGCACGACAAGGUUAAUCCGAGUGGUUUCUGCUAAAGGAACCUUUUGUCGGUCCUAGAAACACCGAUGAAUAAGGGGUGGGCAAGUUCUGGUGUCAGCCGCCGCGGUAAAACCAGCACCUCAAGUGGUCAGGAUGAUUAUUGGGCCUAAAGCAUCCGUAGCCGGCUCUGUAAGUUUUCGGUUAAAUCUGUACGCUCAACGUACAGGCUGCCGGGAAUACUGCAGAGCUAGGGAGUGGGAGAGGUAGACGGUACUCGGUAGGAAGGGGUAAAAUCCUUUGAUCUAUUGAUGACCACCUGUGGCGAAGGCGGUCUACCAGAACACGUCCGACGGUGAGGGAUGAAAGCUGGGGGAGCAAACCGGAUUAGAUACCCGGGUAGUCCCAGCUGUAAACUAUGCAAACUCAGUGAUGCAUUGGCUUGUGGCCAAUGCAGUGCUGCAGGGAAGCCGUUAAGUUUGCCGCCUGGGAAGUACGUACGCAAGUAUGAAACUUAAAGGAAUUGGCGGGG